Molecule: unclassified non-coding RNA, 150 nt
Filed under: uncultured Capnodiales
Lineage: Eukaryota; Fungi; Ascomycota; Dothideomycetes; Capnodiales
Description: sequence contains ITS2
Source: RNAcentral
CACCACUCAAGCCUCGCUUGGUAUUGGGCGACGCGGUCCGCCGCGCGCCUCAAAUCGACCGGCUGGGUCUUCUGUCCCCUCAGCGUUGUGGAAACUAUUCGCUAAAGGGUGCCACGGGAGGCCACGCCGUGAAAACAAACCACUUUCAAA